This 424-nucleotide ribosomal RNA is filed under the name uncultured bacterium. Its description in RNAcentral is "bacterial SSU rRNA". It matches the Rfam family "Bacterial small subunit ribosomal RNA", at positions 358 to 773 of the family's 1533-position model. The record is from RNAcentral.
GGAAUAUUGCGCAAUGGGGGAAACCCUGACGCAGCGACGCCGCGUGAGUGAUGAAGGCCUUCGGGUCGUAAAGCUCUGUCGUAAGGGAAGAAUGGGUUGCAGGUUAAUACCCUGUAGCCGUGACGGUACCUUACAAGAAAGCACCGGCUAACUCCGUGCCAGCAGCCGCGGUAAUACGGAGGGUGCGAGCGUUGUUCGGAAUUACUGGGCGUAAAGAGCGUGUAGGCGGCCGACUAAGUCUGGUGUGAAAGCCCGGGGCUCACCCCCGGAAGUGCGCUGGAAACUGGUUGGCUAGAGUAUGGGAGAGGGAAGUGGAAUUCCUGGUGUAGCGGUGAAAUGCGUAGAUAUCAGGAGGAACACCGGCGGCGAAGGCGGCUUCCUGGACCAAUACUGACGCUGAGACGCGAAAGCGUGGGGAGCAAAC